UAUUCUUGAGACAAGAAAAAACAGAAUGGAGUCACAAUACUUGGCGGGCUGGAUCAACACCCCAGCUACACUUUUCAAUCCCGGCCUUUCCCUGAUUGGGACGGGUGUCUUUAAAUCUUAGCUCACUCAGUAGCUCUUGGGCUCUCCCGCUGGCUGCUGCGCAGUAAGCCCCCCUCCUUCCCGAAAGACCACCAUUUUUCCCAGCAGGCCUUGCCACAGGCCUCUCCUGCAGUGACAGGGGCGGAGCGGUGAAGUCCGCAGACUGUUACCUUCGGUGUUCAUUCUCAGACCCUGAUCCUGUCCCACUGAUCAUCCUGUCCCACCCUCUGGACCUUGUGGUCCCUUUUGAGGCUCCUAGUUAUUUUUCAGGGACGUGAAGGCCACUGUCACUGAAAGUAAUUCUUCACUGAAAAGUGAUUCUUCGCCUGAGCCUGCAGAUAAUGACUAAAACGAGGUUUGUUUGUUUGUUUGUUUGUUUUUGUUUUUCUUUUUAAAAAGCUUGUCACUUCUAUGUUCAUGCUGUACGUCUCUUUUGCUAUCUCAACCGUUGGAUCUGAUUUCUGUUCGACUCAGCACAGAGUCACGCUAGCUGCAUAAGAAAUGCAUCGAAACUUCUUCAGUCAGGUAGUUCCUCCUUCUUAGCUAGAAGACAACAAGGCAAAGACAACCAAAAUAUUUCCCAUGUUCAUAGAAGCAUCACAAUUCUGUGACUAUGUAUGUGCCAAAACCUAGGUUUCACAAUACUCCAUUUCAGACAACUGGCGGGGGGGAGGUGCCUCAGUCUCCAGAUAUUUAUUUCUUCUUAUCUAAGGAUAAAAGACCGUGAAACCUGGACUGAGUAGAAAUGUUCUCCCCCAUCCCCGCAAGGUGCUAGUCUUUUCUCAUUUUGUUGGUAUUACAAAUAAAUCUUUUUUUCUUCUCCCA
Long non-coding RNA from Mus musculus (house mouse), 924 nucleotides. RefSeq annotates it as predicted gene, 39536. The transcript is spliced from 2 exons. Lineage: Eukaryota; Metazoa; Chordata; Mammalia; Rodentia; Muridae. The record is from RefSeq and is a predicted model, not a curated record.